AUAAUGGAGAGUUUGAUCCUGGCUCAGGACGAACGCUGGCGGCGUGCCUAAUACAUGCAAGUCGAGCGGAAAAUUUGGAGCUUGCUCCAAGUUUUCAGCGGCGGACGGGUGAGUAACACGUGGGCAACCUGCCCUGCAGUUCGGGAUAACUCCGGGA
This 157-nucleotide ribosomal RNA is filed under the name Planococcus shenhongbingii. Its description in RNAcentral is "partial 16S ribosomal RNA". It matches the Rfam family "Bacterial small subunit ribosomal RNA", at positions 1 to 154 of the family's 1533-position model. Lineage: Bacteria; Bacillati; Bacillota; Bacilli; Caryophanales; Caryophanaceae. The record is from RNAcentral.